Spinacia oleracea (spinach) is the source of this 557-nucleotide long non-coding RNA. RefSeq lists it as uncharacterized. NCBI's taxonomy places the organism in Eukaryota, Viridiplantae, Streptophyta, Magnoliopsida, Caryophyllales, Amaranthaceae. The transcript is spliced from 3 exons. The record is from RefSeq and is a predicted model, not a curated record.
AACUUUUAUAUAAGGCGGUCUUUCCUGUAAGACCGCCUUGUUGUCACCAAGCUGCCACGUAUGAGCUGAGUCAGCGUUUUAUCUCCCAAAAAAUAUAUAUACAUAUUUUGCAUUUCUUUUUCAUUUUUAUUUUCAUAACCCUAAUUCUCUCUCCUCCAAAUUUCUCUGACCCCCUCUCUCUCCUCCAAACCUCUCUGAUCCUCUCUCUCCUCCAAACCUCUCGGCCAACGCCGGUGAUAACCUGGAGAAUCGAGGUCGACGGCGGAGGAUACCGGCGACGCGGUUAGGGCGGAGUUUUGUUGAUUUUGCAGAUUAAUUUACCGGAAAGAUGAGAAUGUGGUGGCCGACGAGCAGCGGCGAAGGGAGGAAGGAGAUCGUGCGAUGUUCAGGAAGAGGAGAGGAGAGACCGAGGAGGUUGCGCGAUGAGUCGUCGUGGCUGCUGCUGCUCCUCGUCGGACAACCUAGUUAGGAAAUUGCAUGAGGAAGAUGAGGUGUUCCUUAUGAGGAGGAGGCGGAUUUGCCGCUGGUUGUUGGUGGUGGUGGUUGCCGCUACCGCA